GCUAUGGUACAAUAACAAAAACAUUUGAUAAACAUAACAAUGGUAACUUAGAUAAUUAAUUAAAUCAUAUAAUAAGAGAAACCUAAAUCACGUUAUUUUUUUUCUUCAAAGAAAUGAUAAGUAUUUUCUAUCAGAAACAUACUAUUUAGUUAUCUUCAAACUUGCAUGACGCUUAAAAUAAAUCAAUGUCACGUGCAUAUUGCUAAUUUUAUGUGAGACCUGUCUUGUUCUUUCACUAAAAGUUAUCAUUUAAUUUUAAAAUUUAAGGGAAAAAACAUAUGCUACAUUCAAUUCGUCUUGACACAUUAACGUCGCAAAGUAAUUGUUACACAUCGUUUUAGCUGGACAUCGUAAUAUUUGUACAGAUCAACAUUUGCUUGUUUUAUAUUGAAAAUGUUGUUUCAAUAACAUUAACGGUCCAAUUUUCCUGCACCAGAUGCAGAUUUCAAAUGUGUGAGAAUACGUUGCCCAUGAUCAAACCAAAGACUCAAAAGAUAAAAGUAUACAGGAAUGUGCGACAUGUACGAUACAAUAAAAUAAACGUUUCAUUAAAAAAUAAUGGUAAUAUAGAAUAUAAAGCGUUGCUAUAAGUGGCAAAGAAAAUACAAAAAUAAAGUUUUAAAUGUCAAAUGAACAAGUUUUUACACGAAGGGACAAACCUCAAGUAUGCAAUAAUUUAUCGAACUCGUUUCUUUUCAAGCAUCGGGAAAUUUCUAAAAACUAUUGAAAAUUGGAAAUACAUUUCAAAGAUCAUUAUUUACAAAAAGACUUGUACAUGAAAACAUCAACUUUGGAAACUAAGUCUGUAAAAUACUAAUAUAUUCAAUUAAAAAAACUUAGCCCUACAGAUUGGCAAAGAUUGUACAAACAAAAAGUGUAAAAUAUCAAAUAGAAAAAAACUAUUUACAUAGAGGGACAAAACUUUAAAAUGGUGCAAUUCCUUUCAGAACUCUUUAUUUUUUAAUCGUCAGAUACUUUUUCAAACCUGUCGUAUUUACAAAAAAGGAACAAAACUUAUUUGUGCAAUUCUUUUCUGAACUCUUUGUUUUUU
Molecule: long non-coding RNA, 1051 nt
Filed under: Mytilus galloprovincialis (Mediterranean mussel)
Lineage: Eukaryota; Metazoa; Mollusca; Bivalvia; Mytilida; Mytilidae
Source: RNAcentral